Drosophila virilis is the source of this 418-nucleotide non-coding RNA. The record is from RefSeq and is a predicted model, not a curated record. Lineage: Eukaryota; Metazoa; Arthropoda; Insecta; Diptera; Drosophilidae.
GCCACUUGAUUCGAGCCCAAAUGGCCGCAGUCUGGGCUGUUAUUUAAACCAAGUUAAGCUAGUUGCUCUACUUGUCAGCUGCGAGAAUUGAGUUUUCUCUUUGCUGCAGUUGCAUUUAAUGCACCAAUUUAACGAUAAGAAAAGUUGUGGGCCAAAAAAGUUUGCCUUGCUCAAGCAUUGAACUUUUUAUUACCCACGCGCAAAAUAAGACAAGCAAGUGAAACAACAUUCUGCUAAAAAUGGUAUUUAUUCUACACCUUCUGUCUGCCAUGUGGGUUUAUUCGGCACAUAAGCCAAAAAAUUAUGCGCUUCGCUUGUUAGCCGCCUUAUCUAAAUACUAAUGCCAGCCAAAAACUUAUAUUUCUUGGGCUGCAAGACUUAAUAAUUUUGCAAAUAUAUAUAGAUAAAAAUAAAAUGA